CAGGCUGAUCUUGACCGUUUCUUUAUGCUGAUGAACUGUUUUUCAUAUCAUAUACACACACACACUCUUGUCAGAUAUGAGUAUUGAUUCAAAGAAAUUAGGGUUUUCCUGUGCUGAAUUACAGAACCUGGUUUAGGGUUUGAAGGAAAAUUAUUGCCUACUUCAAGGUUUAACGAAUGCAUUUUUAGUGGACCAAUCAGACGAUUCAGAGUUAAACAAUGGAGGGGUUAUGACGUCAAUGAGGUCCUUGUUGUUGGGUUAAAUAACUAGAAAGCCCUUGGUUUCAG
RNAcentral lists this unclassified non-coding RNA (287 nucleotides) under Hevea brasiliensis (rubber tree). Lineage: Eukaryota; Viridiplantae; Streptophyta; Magnoliopsida; Malpighiales; Euphorbiaceae. The record is from RNAcentral.